This 319-nucleotide ribosomal RNA is filed under the name uncultured eukaryote. RNAcentral's name for it is "partial 18S ribosomal RNA". It matches the Rfam family "Eukaryotic small subunit ribosomal RNA", at positions 1470 to 1796 of the family's 1831-position model. The record is from RNAcentral.
CCCUUAGAUGUUCUGGGCAGCACGCGCGCUACAAUGGUCUUCGCAAACGGAUGCAUUCUCGAAGGAGAAUGCCAAUCUUGGAAUCUAUGCCUUGGUCGGGACAGUUGCUCGCAAUUUUUCGACUCGAACCAGGAAUUCCUUGUAAUCGUGAUUCAUCACAUCACGAUGAAUACGUCCCUGCCCUUUGUACACACCGCCCGUCGCUCCUACCGAUCGAAGAGUUAGGUGAAUUGUUUUGAUCGAUAAGAUUUGACUAUGGUCAACUCUCGUUGUGAAAUUCUGUGAAUCUGACUGUUUAGAGGAAGGAAAAGUCGUAACA